Long non-coding RNA from Bos taurus (domestic cattle), 743 nucleotides. Lineage: Eukaryota; Metazoa; Chordata; Mammalia; Artiodactyla; Bovidae. The record is from Ensembl.
GUUCCUCUUCAUUGUGGAGGUUCCUCCCUGUGGGUGGGGUUGGAUGAGUGGUUUGUCAAGGUUUCUGGUUAGGGAAGCUUGCGUCUGUGUUCUGGUGGGUGGAGCUGGAUUUCUUCUCUCUGGAGUGCAAUGAAGUGUCCAGUAGUGAGUUUUGAGAUGUCUGUGAGUUUGGUGUGACUUUGGGCAGCCUGUAUAUUGAAGUUCAGCUAUGUUCCUGCUUUGCUGGAGAAUUUGUGUGGCUCUGUGAAUCCUCAGUUCUCAGAGUCAGAAAUCCUGGAGUGUGAAGUAAAGUGGGCCUUAGGAAGCAUCACUAUGAACAAAGCUAGUGGAGGUGAUGGAAUUCCAGUGGAGAUAUUUCAAAUCCUGAAAGAUGAUGCUGUGAAAGUGCUACACUCUAUAUGCCAGCAAAUUUGGAAAAUGCAGCAGUGGCCACAAAACUGGAAAAGCCAGGCUUCAACAGUACAUGAACCGUGAGCUUCCAGAUGUUCAAGCUGGAUUUAGAAAAGGCAGACGAACCAGAGGUCAAAUUGGCAGCAUCCUAUGAAUCACUGAAAAAGCAAGAGAGUUCCAGAAAAAUAUCUACUUCUGUUUUAUCAACUACGCCAAAACUUUUGACUGUGUGGACCACAAGAAACUGUGGAAAAUUCUGAAAGAAAUGGGAAUACCAGACCACCUGACCUGCCUCUUGAGAAACCUCUAUGCAGGUCAGGAAGCAACAGUUAGAACUGGACAUGGAACAACAG